UACAGAGGUCUCGAGCGUUAGGCGGAAUCACUGGGCUUAAAGCGUGUGUAGGCGGGCCGUUAAGUGCCUUGUGAAAUCCCAUGGCUCAACCAUGGAACUGCUGGGCAUACUGGCGAUCUUGUGCCACCUAGGGGCGAGCGGAACAGAUGGUGGAGCGGUGAAAUGCGUAGAUAUCAUCUGGAACGCCAAUGGUGAAAACAGCUCGCUGGGGGUGUGCAGACGCUGAGACACGAAAGCCAGGGGAGCGAACGGG
RNAcentral lists this ribosomal RNA (253 nucleotides) under uncultured bacterium. Its description in RNAcentral is "partial 16S ribosomal RNA". It matches the Rfam family "Bacterial small subunit ribosomal RNA", at positions 524 to 776 of the family's 1533-position model. The record is from RNAcentral.